UAGGGAAUCUUGCGCAAUGGGCGAAAGCCUGACGCAGCCAUGCCGCGUGAAUGAUGAAGGUCUUAGGAUUGUAAAAUUCUUUCACCGGGGACGAUAAUGACGGUACCCGGAGAAGAAGCCCCGGCUAACUUCGUGCCAGCAGCCGCGGUAAUACGAAGGGGGCUAGCGUUGCCCGGAAUUACUGGGCGUAAAGGGAGCGUAGGCGGAUAGUUUAGUCAGAGGUGAAAGCCCAGGGCUCAACCUUGGAAUUGCCUUUGAUACUGGCUAUCUUGAGUAUGGAAGAGGUAUGUGGAACUCCGAGUGUAGAGGUGAAAUUCGUAGAUAUUCGGAAGAACACCAGUGGCGAAGGCGACAUACUGGUCCAUUACUGACGCUGAGGCUCGAAAGCGUGGGGAGCAAACA
Molecule: ribosomal RNA, 402 nt
Filed under: uncultured bacterium
Lineage: Bacteria
Description: partial 16S ribosomal RNA
Rfam family: Bacterial small subunit ribosomal RNA
Source: RNAcentral